This 651-nucleotide long non-coding RNA is filed under the name Arabidopsis lyrata. RNAcentral describes it as "long non-coding RNA (ALYR_LNC001795)". Lineage: Eukaryota; Viridiplantae; Streptophyta; Magnoliopsida; Brassicales; Brassicaceae. The record is from RNAcentral.
GAUAUAGCUUAUAUGAUUCAGAUUCACUAUCAAGCUCGUUUUUUUAACAGAAACAAAAUCAAAACUAAAGGAAACACAAACCCAGAUCACAAUAAUCUACUCAUGACCCCCUAACUGGAAACUUGGCCGUUGCCGCCGCGUCACCGUAGCACCAGCCCUCGUCGGAGAAAUAUCCCUUUCACCACCACGACGACGUUUCACUUUACUCUUCCUAACAAAUCCUUAGUAAUCGACAAAGGGCUACGUAGCGUGACGUAAGCAUUCUUGUAAUCAGCUUUCGUUAUUUACAAAAUCCCACGCUUCUUCUUCUUCCCAAUUUCCCAUCCAUGUUCAGUGUAUUCACCUUCUCCACAUCGAAUCUAUAAAAAUCAGAGUUUGAAGGGAUCUUAUGAAAUCACGAUUAAGAAACUCGAAUUUGAAGUUAUAUAAAAGCAAUUGACGAAGAUGAGUGAAUUUACAGAAAAUCAAUUAAAUUGGAAGUUACAGAGAAGACUAAAUACUUGCAUCCGAGAUCGAUUUGGCCAAGAAGAGAGACUGUUCAAAGCUUGUCAAAAUCGACGACCCCAUUGAUCUCAUCAACCAAAAGAAGUUAGUCUAAUUUGUAUUGUUUUUAAACGAAGAAAAUCCAACCAAAAUAUUUUCAGGUGAAGA